Molecule: small nucleolar RNA, 79 nt
Filed under: Bombyx mori (domestic silkworm)
Lineage: Eukaryota; Metazoa; Arthropoda; Insecta; Lepidoptera; Bombycidae
Description: Bm_15
Source: RNAcentral
AUUCAAUGAUGAUACAAUGCUUUAUGAAUGCGCAACCAUGAUUACCACGCAUUUCAAACUUCCUUGGAUGGCUGAAUUU